AACGAACGCUGGCGGCAUGCCUAACACAUGUAAGUCGAACGAGGGCUUCGGCCCUAGUGGCGCACGGGUGAGUAACGCGUGGGAACCUGCCCUGUGGUACGGAAUAACUCCGGGAAACUGGAGCUAAUACCGUAUGUGUCUUGAGGGACAAAGAUUUAUCGCCAUGGGAUGGGCCCGCGUAGGAUUAGCUUGUUGGUGGGGUAACGGCCUACCAAGGCAACGAUCCUUAGCUGGUCUGAGAGGAUGAUCAGCCACACUGGGACUGAGACACGGCCCAGACUCCUACGGGAGGCAGCAGUGGGGAAUAUUGGACAAUGGGCGCAAGCCUGAUCCAGCAAUGCCGCGUGAGUGAUGAAGGCCUUCGGGUUGUAAAGCUCUUUCGCACGCGACGAUGAUGACGGUAGCGUGAGAAGAAGCCCCGGCUAACUUCGUGCCAGCAGCCGCGGUAAUACGAAGGGGGCUAGCGUUGUUCGGAAUUACUGGGCGUAAAGGGCGCGUAGGCGGUACUUCAAGUCAGGCGUGAAAGCCCCGGGCUCAACCUGGGAACCGCGCUUGAGACUGGAGAACUAGAGUUCGGGAGAGGAUGGUGGAAUUCCCAGUGUAGAGGUGAAAUUCGUAGAUAUUGGGAAGAACACCGAUGGCGAAGGCAGCCAUCUGGACCGACACUGACGCUGAGGCGCGAAAGCGUGGGGAGCAAACAG
RNAcentral lists this ribosomal RNA (701 nucleotides) under uncultured Alphaproteobacteria bacterium. Its description in RNAcentral is "bacterial SSU rRNA". It matches the Rfam family "Bacterial small subunit ribosomal RNA", at positions 28 to 775 of the family's 1533-position model. Lineage: Bacteria; Pseudomonadati; Pseudomonadota; Alphaproteobacteria. The record is from RNAcentral.